RNAcentral lists this ribosomal RNA (194 nucleotides) under bacterium rN5. Its description in RNAcentral is "partial 16S rRNA". It matches the Rfam family "Bacterial small subunit ribosomal RNA", at positions 338 to 524 of the family's 1533-position model. RNAcentral also lists the same sequence under 2 other names. The record is from RNAcentral.
CCUACGGGAGGCAGCAGUGGGGAAUAUUGGACAAUGGGCGAAAGCCUGAUCCAGCCAUGCCGCGUGUGUGAAGAAGGUCUUCGGAUUGUAAAGCACUUUAAGUUGGGAGGAAGGGCAGUAAGCGAAUACCUUGCUGUUUUGACGUUACCGACAGAAUAAGCACCGGCUAACUCUGUGCCAGCAGCCGCGGUAAU